UACGUAGGGUGCGAGCGUUGUCCGGAAUUAUUGGGCGUAAAGGGCUUGUAGGCGGUUUGUCGCGUCUGCUGUGAAAUCCCAUGGCUCAACUGUGGGCUUGCAGCCGAUACGGGCGGGCUAGAGUUCGGUAGGGGAGACUGGAAUUCCUGGUGUAGCGGUGAAAUGCGCAGAUAUCAGGAGGAACACCGGUGGCGAAGGCGGGUCUCUGGGCCGAUACUGACGCUGAGGAGCGAAAGCGUGGGGAGCGAACAGG
RNAcentral lists this ribosomal RNA (253 nucleotides) under uncultured bacterium. RNAcentral's name for it is "partial 16S ribosomal RNA". It matches the Rfam family "Bacterial small subunit ribosomal RNA", at positions 524 to 776 of the family's 1533-position model. The record is from RNAcentral.